ACCAUCUCAGCACAGUCCAUUGAGGCACCAUAUCUGAUCUGAGUCCUGUGCAGUGCCUAGGAAGAGCAAGACAUGGAGAGUUGGAUUCACCAAAUCAAACAAGGUUCAGUCACGCUGCCCCACCCAUGCGGAGAAUGAAGGCGAUAACGUGGCUGUUUUCCACUCCGCCUGUCUGCGUGGUUCCAUGGUGACCUCUGAGCAGACAGCGGCACAAAGACACCCCGCGGCUCGAUGCGAGAGGUGGGCACAGCCAGCAGCACAGGGCACUGUUCUACCGUGGCUUUGUGCAGGACUACUUGUGCCCAGAAAACAAGAAGUUAGGGUGAUGGGGCUCCAGCCACUCUCAGAGAGCAUGUACAGUAUACUCAUGGAUAUGGAGGGCACAUGCCCAAAUCCCUUCUCCUCAUGGCACAACACAAACAUCUCUAGCAGCGCAUUUCCCUAACCCCCAGGCUACAAGAUACUUGGGAUAAGGGUUUUCCAGGAGCAGGGAAGGGCACCCAGUCUCCCCACAUCUAGCUGGAUCUCACACCAGUCCCUUGGAUCCACGGAGGAAAGGAACAGCAACAAGGCUUUAUUCCAAGUGCUUGGCUGGGUCAGCACCAGAGACCCCACAGGCUCCAUCCCUCAUGAUCUGGCUCAUUGUUCCCUAAAUUAAUUGAUGCUGGUCCUUCUCUCUUGGUGGGUCAGGUAAUAGCUGGGCUCUGCUUGCCUGAGUCACAGCCACUCCCAUAUAGUGGCUGCACUCCCCACCUGCACAUCUCUUGCUAGUCGACAGCAGAUUGCCACAACUUAGAAAAUGCAUGUAAGGGACUGAAUUUUUAAGGAAAAUCAACACUGUCUGGGUGUAUGGAAAUCCAUGGGUGUUAUUCAUAGCCUCUCACCAUCUUUAUGCAAAUGUUGCAUGGAAAACAUGACAGCCAGAACCUCUUGGGGUUUGUCCAUGUACGACAGUCAUUUAAAUUAAAAAAAAAAAAAAUGUAAAAAUUGGGCCCAGUUCCCUCAGCUUAUUGCUUCAGGAUCAGACUUUCUGGAAUUCUGUGAGAUCUUUCAGGAUCAAAACAGCCUAACAAAGGUAGGGUGCUGUUACCAUCAUGUCUUCAGUUGUCUUAUUUUCCCCGUAGGGAGAAGUAAUUAGGGAUGCAGUUUGUGUCUGGGGGCAGCAUAUUCUGCAGAAAUGCUGCUUAUUACUGCGUUGCAUUUCAUCUGCAGAGGGGAAAAGCGAUGAGAAUAUGCCUGGAGGAGCAGAAAUGUGGUAAUAUGAAUCUAAUUCUACUCUGCCUAGGAGAACCUCAUGCAGACAAGGACUUGAUAAAAGAGUCAACACUGAAUAAAAAUUCCCAAUUACAGCCCUAUCA
RNAcentral lists this long non-coding RNA (1358 nucleotides) under Anas platyrhynchos platyrhynchos (common mallard). RNAcentral's name for it is "lncRNA (ENSAPLG00000018065.1)". The record is from RNAcentral. Lineage: Eukaryota; Metazoa; Chordata; Aves; Anseriformes; Anatidae.